UACGUAGGGUGCGAGCGUUAAUCGGAAUUACUGGGCGUAAAGCGUGCGCAGGCGGCUUUGCAAGACAGAUGUGAAAUCCCCGGGCUCAACCUGGGAACUGCAUUUGUGACUGCAAGGCUAGAGUACGGCAUAGGGGGAUGGAAUUCCGCGUGUAGCAGUGAAAUGCGUAGAUAUGCGGAGGAACACCAAUGGCGAAGGCAAUCCCCUGGGCCUGUACUGACGCUCAUGCACGAAAGCGUGGGGAGCAAACAGG
RNAcentral lists this ribosomal RNA (253 nucleotides) under uncultured bacterium. Its description in RNAcentral is "partial 16S ribosomal RNA". It matches the Rfam family "Bacterial small subunit ribosomal RNA", at positions 524 to 776 of the family's 1533-position model. The record is from RNAcentral.